AUGUUAUGGGAUGGUAGGUGGUAUAGGGGAGAUGUGGAGGAUGGUAGGUGGUAUAGGGGAGAUGUUGAGGAUGGUAGGUGGUAUAGGGGAGACGUUGAGGGUGGUAGGUGGUAUAGGGGAGACGUUGAGGAUGGUAGGCGGUAUAGGGGAGACGUGGAGGGUGGUAUAGGGGAGAUGUUGAGGAUGGUAGGUGGUAUAGGGGAAAUGUGGAGGGUGGUAGGUGGUAUAGGGGAGAUGUUGAGGGUGGUAGGUGGUAUAGGGGAAAUGUGGAGGGUGGUAGGUGGUAUAGGGGUGACGUUGAGGAUGGUAGGUGGUAUAGGGGAGACGUGGAGGGUGGUAGGUGGUAUAGGGGUGACGUUGAGGAUGGUAGGUGGUAUAGGGGAGAUGUUGAGGAUGGUAGGUGGUAUAGGGGAGACGUGGAGGGUGGUAGGUGGUAUAGGGGUGACGUUGAGGAUGGUAGGUGGUAUAGGGGAGAUGUUGAGGAUGGUAGGUGGUAUAGGGGAGACGUCGAGGGUGGUAGGCGGUAUAGGGGAGACGUUGAGGAUGGUAGGUGGUAUAGGGGAGAUGUUGAGGAUGGUAGGUGGUAUAGGGGAGACGUCGAGGGUGGUAGGCGGUAUAGGGGAGAUGUGGAGGAUGGUAGGUGGUAUAGGGGAGAUGUUGAGGAUGGUAGGUGGUAUAGGGGAGACGUUGAGGAUGGUAGGUGGUAUAGGGGAGACGUCGAGGGUGGUAGGCGGUAUAGGGGAGAUGUUGAGGAUGGUAGGUGAUAUAGGGGAGACGUUGAGGGUGGUAGGUGGUAUAGGGGAGACGUUGAGGGUGGUAGGUGGUAUAGGGGAGACGUUGAGGGUGGUAGGUGUUGGGGAGACGUUGAGGGUGGUAGGUGUUGGGGAGAUGUUGAGGAUGGUAGGUGGUAUAGGGGAGAUGUGGAGGGUGGUAGGUGGUAUAGGGGAGACGUCGAGGGUGGUAGGCGGUAUAGGGGAGACGUUGAGGGUGGUAGGCGUAACGAGGGAACCUAUUCAGUAG
This 1020-nucleotide long non-coding RNA is filed under the name Oncorhynchus mykiss (rainbow trout). RNAcentral describes it as "lncRNA (ENSOMYG00000070109.1)". The record is from RNAcentral. Lineage: Eukaryota; Metazoa; Chordata; Actinopteri; Salmoniformes; Salmonidae.